AAACUAGGUUUUAACCCGCGGUUU
This 24-nucleotide non-coding RNA is filed under the name Arabidopsis thaliana (thale cress). The record is from RNAcentral. Lineage: Eukaryota; Viridiplantae; Streptophyta; Magnoliopsida; Brassicales; Brassicaceae.